UAUUAUUAUCAUUAAUUUUCACAAGUACAAGAAAUAUGCAGCCACUUUCCUAAGCCACCACAUAUUACCUACCAGCAAUAGUGUGCUCUAAGCAAAAAUUAUGAAAACUUAGGACCGAAGUAAUUUACACCCAUCAUUAGUUGCUAGAUCACACACCAAAAUCUGGCUGCUGGUGCACUUCCCGCAAUUGGAUCUCACCGGAAUCUGGCACCAAGACAACUACAUUCUGCUGAGUAGACACAGUAAUAGUCCGACAAAUGGGACAAUUUGAGUGUGAAUUUAGCCACAUAUCAAUGCAUGAAACAUGAAACAUGUGCAAGCAUUCAGGCAAUUCACGAAUUUGUUCACCCUCAUUGAACUCGCACAAGCACACUGAACAAAUUUCUUCAUUGCAUUCUUUGCUAUAUCUGCCCAAUGGAACUUCUAUCACCGUCGAGUUGGGGGUGCCACUGAUCAUUUCUCGUCUAUUUGCAGGAUUUUGGGGUCUGCCUGGGGUUGGAGAGUUUGUAAAUCGCCCUGAUCGGCUACGACAACCUGCAGCAAUACAAUGCAAGGUUGCCACCAUGAUGGCUCCAGAGAGGAUACCACAAAGGCCGAUGAGAAUUGGGCUAAAUUUGACUCCAUGGUUAUGUUCUCUAUCCAUGAAAUGAAAGAAAUUGGACAUAAUUCAAGAGCUAGGUGACUAUUUGCAGGCAUAAGUUUUAUAGUUUUUCGUCUCCUUUUUGGGGCCUAAUGCUACAAAAGAGAGGCCUUGCUUUCAUUGCCAUUUUGGUUAAAUUUCCUUAUAGGAAACGGUGUUAUCACAUAUUGAAA
Molecule: unclassified non-coding RNA, 813 nt
Filed under: Hevea brasiliensis (rubber tree)
Lineage: Eukaryota; Viridiplantae; Streptophyta; Magnoliopsida; Malpighiales; Euphorbiaceae
Source: RNAcentral